CUCUCUCUCUCUCUCUCUCUCUCUCUCUCUCUCUCUCUCUCUCUCUCUCUCUCUCUCUCUCUCCCCAACUGGUCGAGACAGACGACCACCCACCUAGAGCCGGAGGAUCUGUCCUAGGUUUCUGCCUUUUAACAGGCAGUUUUUCCUUGCCCUUGUCGCCAAGGUCUUGCUCAUGGUGGUACUGUUGGGUCUCUGUAAAUAAUGUUAUAAAGAGUUCGGUCUAGACCUGCUCUAUUUGAAAAGUGUCCUGAGAUAACUUCUGUUAUGAAUUGGCGGUAUACAAAUAAAACUGAAUUGAAUUGAA
Long non-coding RNA from Dicentrarchus labrax (European seabass), 304 nucleotides. RefSeq lists it as uncharacterized. Lineage: Eukaryota; Metazoa; Chordata; Actinopteri; Moronidae. The transcript is spliced from 2 exons. The record is from RefSeq and is a predicted model, not a curated record.